UACGUAGGGGGCUAGCGUUGUCCGGAAUCAUUGGGCGUAAAGCGCGUGUAGGCGGUCCGGUAAGUCCGCUGUGAAAGUCGGGGGCUCAACCCUCGAAAGCCGGUGGAAACUGUCGGGCUAGAGUGCGGAAGAGGCGAGUGGAAUUCCUGGUGUAGCGGUGAAAUGCGCAGAUAUCAGGAGGAACACCGAUGGCGAAGGCAGCUCGCUGGGACGGUACUGACGCUGAGGCGCGAAAGCGUGGGGAGCGAACAGG
RNAcentral lists this ribosomal RNA (253 nucleotides) under uncultured bacterium. RNAcentral's name for it is "partial 16S ribosomal RNA". It matches the Rfam family "Bacterial small subunit ribosomal RNA", at positions 524 to 776 of the family's 1533-position model. The record is from RNAcentral.